RNAcentral lists this ribosomal RNA (499 nucleotides) under uncultured bacterium. Its description in RNAcentral is "bacterial LSU rRNA". It matches the Rfam family "Bacterial large subunit ribosomal RNA", at positions 47 to 502 of the family's 2925-position model. The record is from RNAcentral.
CGAAGAAGGACGUAGCAGGCUGCGAAAAGCCUCGGGGAGCCGCGAGCGGGCUUUGAUCCGGGGAUAUCCGAAUGGGGAAACCGCUGAGCACAAAGAGCUCAGAGCAUACGAUGAAUUCAUAGUCGUAUGCGGGCAACCUGGCGAAGUGAAACAUCUCAGUAGCUAGAGGAAAAGAAAUCAAUCGAGAUUCCCCGAGUAGUGGCGAACGAAAGGGGAACAGCCCAAACUUGCGUGACGUGAUAGGUGUCAGCCGUUGUCGCGCGGGGGUUGUAGGACUGCAUGUUGGACUCUGACAGGUCCGAGCAGAGUAAGAAAAUCAUUGCUUAGUCGAAGCGGCCUGGGAAGGCCUGUCAAAGAGUGUGAUAGCCACGUAGACGAAAAGCGAUGGUCUCUGUUGUGUAGUUCCUGAGUACGGCCGGGCACGUGGAACCCGGUCGGAAGCUGGGUGGACCAUCAUCCAAGGCUAAAUAUGACCUACCGACCGAUAGCGAUCAGUACC